RNAcentral lists this ribosomal RNA (557 nucleotides) under uncultured bacterium. Its description in RNAcentral is "bacterial SSU rRNA". It matches the Rfam family "Bacterial small subunit ribosomal RNA", at positions 10 to 573 of the family's 1533-position model. The record is from RNAcentral.
AGUUUGAUCAUGGCUCAGGAUGAACGCUAGCGGCAGGCCUAAUACAUGCAAGUCGAACGGGUGUUCUUCGGAACACUAGUGGCGCACGGGUGCGUAACGCGUAACCAAUCUGCCCUGAACUGGGGGAUAGCCCGCCGAAAGGCGGAUUAAUACCGCAUAAUACUACGUUUCGGCAUCGUUUCGUAGUUAAAGAUUUAUUGGUUCAGGAUGAGGUUGCGUGCCAUUAGCUAGUUGGCGGGGUAAUAGCCCACCAAGGCGACGAUGGCUAGGGGACCUGAGAGGGUGAUCCCCCACACUGGCACUGAGAUACGGGCCAGACUCCUACGGGAGGCAGCAGUAGGGAAUAUUGGGCAAUGGACGAGAGUCUGACCCAGCCAUGCCGCGUGCCGGAUGAAGGCCUUCUGGGUUGUAAACGGCUUUUCUCAGGGAAGAAAAAGACCAUGCGUGGUACACUGACGGUACCUGAGGAAUAAGCACCGGCUAACUCCGUGCCAGCAGCCGCGGUAAUACGGAGGGUGCAAGCGUUGUCCGGAUUUAUUGGGUUUAAAGGGUGCGUA